UGGGGAAUAUUGCACAAUGGGCGCAAGCCUGAUGCAGCCAUGCCGCGUGUGUGAAGAAGGCCUUCGGGUUGUAAAGCACUUUCAGCGAGGAGGAAGGUGGUGAGCUUAAUACGCUCAUCAAUUGACGUUACUCGCAGAAGAAGCACCGGCUAACUCCGUGCCAGCAGCCGCGGUAAUACGGAGGGUGCAAGCGUUAAUCGGAAUUACUGGGCGUAAAGCGCACGCAGGCGGUUUGUUAAGUCAGAUGUGAAAUCCCCGGGCUCAACCUGGGAACUGCAUUUGAAACUGGCAAGCUAGAGUCUCGUAGAGGGGGGUAGAAUUCCAGGUGUAGCGGUGAAAUGCGUAGAGAUCUGGAGGAAUACCGGUGGCGAAGGCGGCCCCCCUGGACGAAGACUGACGCUCAGGUGCGAAAGCGUGGGGCAGCAAACAGGAUUAGAUACCCUGGUAGUCCACGCUGUAAACGAUGUCGAUUUGGAGGUUGUGCCCCUUGAGGCGUGGNUUCCGGAGCUAACG
Molecule: ribosomal RNA, 513 nt
Filed under: uncultured bacterium
Lineage: Bacteria
Description: partial 16S ribosomal RNA
Rfam family: Bacterial small subunit ribosomal RNA
Source: RNAcentral